UACGUAGGGGGCAAGCGUUGUCCGGAUUUAUUGGGCGUAAAGAGCUCGUAGGCGGUUUCGUAAGUCGGGUGUGAAAACUCUAGGCUCAACCUAGAGACGCCACCCGAUACUGCGAUGACUAGAGUCCGGUAGGGGAGUGUGGAAUUCCUGGUGUAGCGGUGAAAUGCGCAGAUAUCGGGAGGAACACCUAUGGCGAAGGCAGCUCGCUGGGACGUUACUGACGCUGAGACGCGAAAGCGUGGGGAGCAAACAGG
Molecule: ribosomal RNA, 254 nt
Filed under: uncultured bacterium
Lineage: Bacteria
Description: partial 16S ribosomal RNA
Rfam family: Bacterial small subunit ribosomal RNA
Source: RNAcentral